GCCAGUGUGGCUCAGUGGAUAGAGCACCGGCCCACGGACCGAAGGGUCCCGGGUUCAAUUCCUGUCAACGGCA
This 73-nucleotide transfer RNA is filed under the name Myotis davidii. It matches the Rfam family "tRNA". Rfam says of the family: Transfer RNA (tRNA) molecules are approximately 80 nucleotides in length. Lineage: Eukaryota; Metazoa; Chordata; Mammalia; Chiroptera; Vespertilionidae. The record is from Rfam by way of RNAcentral.